GGGAUUGCCCUAGUAACGGCGAGUGAACAGGCAAGAGCUCAGAUUUGAAUGGCACUUUUGUGCCGUUGUAUUCUGAAGUUAGGGUCCUGAGAAACGAUGCUUAAGUCUUCUGGAAAGGAGCGCCAUGGAGGGUGAUAGCCCCGUCUAGCAUUGACCUCAUAUAGGAUCUUAACAUGGAGUCGAGUUGUUUGGGAAUGCAGCUCAAAUGGGUGGUAUGCUCCAUCUAAAGCUAAAUAUCUGCGAGAGACCGAUAGUAAACAAGUACUGUGAGGGAAAGAUGAAAAGAACUUUGAAAAGAGAGUGAAAAAGUACGUGAAAUUGUUGAAAUGGAAGGGUAGGCCGCUAACCAUGUAGAGCCGUGUUUGGGGGGAAGAUAAAUGCUGUAGAAUGUAGCUCCUCGGAGUAUUAUAGAUGCAGUUCAUAUUCCCACCCGAGCGCGAGGAUCUCAGGUUCUACUAAAUGGUGGUCUACCACCCGUCUUGAAACA
RNAcentral lists this ribosomal RNA (487 nucleotides) under Starmerella bacillaris. Its description in RNAcentral is "eukaryotic LSU rRNA". It matches the Rfam family "Eukaryotic large subunit ribosomal RNA", at positions 71 to 661 of the family's 3401-position model. The record is from RNAcentral. Lineage: Eukaryota; Fungi; Ascomycota; Dipodascomycetes; Dipodascales; Trichomonascaceae.